RNAcentral lists this ribosomal RNA (253 nucleotides) under uncultured bacterium. RNAcentral describes it as "partial 16S ribosomal RNA". It matches the Rfam family "Bacterial small subunit ribosomal RNA", at positions 524 to 776 of the family's 1533-position model. The record is from RNAcentral.
UACGAAGGGUGCUAGCGUUGCUCGGAAUCACUGGGCGGAAAGGGUGCGUAGGCGGGUCUUUAAGUCAGGGGUGAAAUCCUGGAGCUCAACUCCAGAACUGCCUUUGAUACUGAAGAUCUUGAGUUCGGGAGAGGUGAGUGGAACUGCGAGUGUAGAGGUGAAAUUCGUAGAUAUUCGCAAGAACACCAGUGGCGAAGGCGGCUCACUGGCCCGAUACUGACGCUGAGGCACGAAAGCGUGGGGAGCAAACAGG